This 363-nucleotide ribosomal RNA is filed under the name uncultured eukaryote. RNAcentral's name for it is "partial 18S ribosomal RNA". It matches the Rfam family "Eukaryotic small subunit ribosomal RNA", at positions 592 to 976 of the family's 1831-position model. The record is from RNAcentral.
CAAUAGCGUAUACUAAUGUUGUUGCAGUUAAAAAGCUCGUAGUUGAACUUCUGGUAGGAGUGUCCCGGCCUUUUUGUUUUUACAAAUUGUAUGCUGUGUGACAUCUCUGGCCAUCCUUCUUCUUUGUUUAAAGAAGAUCUUUCACUGUAAAAAAAUUAGGGUGUUCAAAGCAAAAGCUUCUUUGGAAUAUAUUAGUAUGGGAUGAUAAGAUAGGCUCUAGAUGCUAUUUUGUUGGUUUGCACAUUUAGAGAAUGAUUAACAGGGACAGUUGGGGGUAUUCGUAUUUACAUGUCAGAGGUGAAAUUCUUGGAUUUUGGAAAGACGAACUACUGCGAAAGCAUUUACCAAGGAUGUUUUCAUUAA